Molecule: ribosomal RNA, 497 nt
Filed under: uncultured bacterium
Lineage: Bacteria
Description: partial 16S ribosomal RNA
Rfam family: Bacterial small subunit ribosomal RNA
Source: RNAcentral
GAUGAACGCUGGCGGCGUGCCUAAUACAUGCAAGUCGAGCGAACGGACGAGAAGCUUGCUUCUCUGAUGUUAGCGGCGGACGGGUGAGUAACACGUGGAUAACCUACCUAUAAGACUGGGAUAACUUCGGGAAACCGUAGCUAAUACCGGAUAAUAUUUUGAACCGCAUGGUUCAAAAGUGAAAGACGGUCUUGCUGUCACUUAUAGAUGGAUCCGCGCUGCAUUAGCUAGUUGGUAAGGUAACGGCUUACCAAGGCAACGAUGCAUAGCCGACCUGAGAGGGUGAUCGGCCACACUGGAACUGAGACACGGUCCAGACUCCUACGGGGGGCAGCAGUAGGGAAUCUUCCGCAAAGGGCGAAAGCCUGACGGAGCAACGCCGCGUGAGUGAUGAAGGUCUUCGGAUCGUAAAACUCUGUUAUUAGGGAAGAACAUAUGUGUAAGUAACUGUGCACAUCUUGACGGUACCUAAUCAGAAAGCCACGGCUAACUACGUG